UACGGGGGGGGCAAGCGUUGUUCGGAAUUACUGGGCGUAAAGGGCUCGUAGGUGGCCAACUAAGUCAGACGUGAAAUCCCUCGGCUUAACCGGGGAACUGCGUCUGAUACUGGAUGGCUUGAGUUCGGGAGAGGGAUGCGGAAUUCCAGGUGUAGCGGUGAAAUGCGUAGAUAUCGGGAAGAACACCCGUGGCGAAGGCGGUUCUCUGGGACGGUACUGACGCUGAGACGCGAAAGCGUGGGGAGCGAACAGG
This 253-nucleotide ribosomal RNA is filed under the name uncultured bacterium. Its description in RNAcentral is "partial 16S ribosomal RNA". It matches the Rfam family "Bacterial small subunit ribosomal RNA", at positions 524 to 776 of the family's 1533-position model. The record is from RNAcentral.